This 254-nucleotide ribosomal RNA is filed under the name uncultured bacterium. Its description in RNAcentral is "partial 16S ribosomal RNA". It matches the Rfam family "Bacterial small subunit ribosomal RNA", at positions 524 to 776 of the family's 1533-position model. The record is from RNAcentral.
UACAGAGGGGGCAAGCGUUGUUCGGAAUUACUGGGCGUAAAGGGCGCGUAGGCGGCCCGCUAAGUCGAACGUGAAAUCCCCCGGGCUCAACCCGGGAACUGCGUCCGAUACUGGUGGGCUUGAAUCCGGGAGAGGGAUGCGGAAUUCCAGGUGUAGCGGUGAAAUGCGUAGAUAUCUGGAGGAACACCGGUGGCGAAGGCGGCAUCCUGGACCGGUAUUGACGCUGAGGCGCGAAAGCCAGGGGAGCAAACGGG